UAGGGAAUAUUGCACAAUGGGCGAAAGCCUGAUGCAGCAACGCCGCGUGAGUGAUGAAGGCCUUCGGGUUGUAAAGCUCCGUCUUCUGGGACGAUAAUGACGGUACCAGAGGAGGAAGCCACGGCUAACUACGUGCCAGCAGCCGCGGUAAUACGUAGGUGGCAAGCGUUGUCCGGAUUUACUGGGCGUAAAGGAUGCGUAGGCGGAUACUUAAGUCAGAUGUGAAAAUCCCGGGCUUAACUUGGGAACUGCAUUUGAAACUGGGUAUCUAGAGUGCGGGAGAGGAAAGUGGAAUUCCUAGUGUAGCGGUGAAAUGCGUAGAGAUUAGGAAGAACACCAGUGGCGAAGGCGACUUUCUGGACCGUAACUGACGCUGAGGCAUGAAGGCGUGGGGAGCAAACA
This 402-nucleotide ribosomal RNA is filed under the name uncultured bacterium. RNAcentral describes it as "bacterial SSU rRNA". It matches the Rfam family "Bacterial small subunit ribosomal RNA", at positions 355 to 774 of the family's 1533-position model. The record is from RNAcentral.